UACGUAGGUGGCAAGCGUUAUCCGGAUUUACUGGGUGUAAAGGGUGUGUAGGCUGGGAAGCAAGUCAGAUGUGAAAGGUGUGGGCUCAACUCACAGACUGCGUCUGAAACUGUUUUUCUUGAGAGUCGGAGGGGUAAUCGGAAUUCCUGGUGUAGCGGUGAAAUGCGUAGAUAUCAGGAGGAACACCGGUGGCGAAGGCGGAUUACUGGACGACAACUGACGCUGAGACACGAAAGCGUGGGGAG
This 245-nucleotide ribosomal RNA is filed under the name uncultured Oscillospiraceae bacterium. RNAcentral's name for it is "partial 16S ribosomal RNA". It matches the Rfam family "Bacterial small subunit ribosomal RNA", at positions 524 to 768 of the family's 1533-position model. Lineage: Bacteria; Bacillati; Bacillota; Clostridia; Eubacteriales; Oscillospiraceae. The record is from RNAcentral.